RNAcentral lists this ribosomal RNA (253 nucleotides) under uncultured bacterium. Its description in RNAcentral is "partial 16S ribosomal RNA". It matches the Rfam family "Bacterial small subunit ribosomal RNA", at positions 524 to 776 of the family's 1533-position model. The record is from RNAcentral.
UACGGAGGGGGCAAGCGUUAUUCGGAAUUAUUGGGCGUAAAGGGCGCGUAGGCGGCUAGAUGUGUCAAAGGUGAAAUCCCUCGGCUCAACUGAGGGACUGCCUUUGAAACUGUCUGGCUUGAGGCCGGGAGAGGGUAGCGGAAUUCCCAGUGUAGCGGUGAAAUGCGUAGAUAUUGGGAGGAACACCAGUGGCGAAGGCGGCUACCUGGACCGGUUCUGACGCUGAGGCGCGAAAGCGUGGGUAGCAAACAGG